UGGGGAAUAUUGCACAAUGGGCGCAAGCCUGAUGCAGCAAUGCCGCGUGAGUGAAGACGGCCUUAGGGUUGUAAAACUCUUUCGCUAGGGAAGAUAAUGACGGUACCUAGUAAAGAAGUCCCGGCUAACUCCGUGCCAGCAGCCGCGGUAAUACGGAGGGGACUAGCGUUGUUCGGAAUUACUGGGCGUAAAGAGUUCGUAGGCGGACUAGCAAGUUAGAGGUGAAAUCCCAGGGCUCAACCCCGGAACUGCCUCCAAAACUAUUGGUCUAGAGUUCGAGAGAGGUGAGUGGAAUUCCAAGUGUAGAGGUGAAAUUCGUAGAUAUUUGGAGGAACACCAGUGGCGAAGGCGGCUCACUGGCUCGAUACUGACGCUGAGGUGCGAAAGUGUGGGGAGCAAA
This 400-nucleotide ribosomal RNA is filed under the name uncultured bacterium. RNAcentral describes it as "bacterial SSU rRNA". It matches the Rfam family "Bacterial small subunit ribosomal RNA", at positions 355 to 772 of the family's 1533-position model. The record is from RNAcentral.